RNAcentral lists this ribosomal RNA (98 nucleotides) under Eggerthella sp. Its description in RNAcentral is "partial 23S ribosomal RNA". It matches the Rfam family "Bacterial large subunit ribosomal RNA", at positions 2827 to 2925 of the family's 2925-position model. The record is from RNAcentral. Lineage: Bacteria; Bacillati; Actinomycetota; Coriobacteriia; Eggerthellales; Eggerthellaceae.
AGUAAGACCCCUUGAAGACGACGAGGUUGAUAGGCCUGAGGUGGAAGUGCAGCAAUGCAUGGAGCUGACAGGUACUAAUCGGUCGAGGGCUUAUCCAA